Molecule: ribosomal RNA, 805 nt
Filed under: uncultured Bacteroidota bacterium
Lineage: Bacteria; Pseudomonadati; Bacteroidota
Description: bacterial SSU rRNA
Rfam family: Bacterial small subunit ribosomal RNA
Source: RNAcentral
AGUCGAGGGGUAUUAUCUUCGGAUAGAGAGACCGGCGCACGGGUGCGUAACGCGUAUGCAAUCUACCUUUUACAGAGGGAUAGCCCAGAGAAAUUUGGAUUAAUACCUCAUAGUAUGUGAGAAUGGCAUCAUUUUCACAUUAAAGUCACAACGGUAAAAGAUGAGCAUGCGUCCCAUUAGCUAGUUGGUAAGGUAACGGCUUACCAAGGCUACGAUGGGUAGGGGUCCUGAGAGGGAGAUCCCCCACACUGGUACUGAGACACGGACCAGACUCCUACGGGAGGCAGCAGUGAGGAAUAUUGGACAAUGGGCGCAAGCCUGAUCCAGCCAUGCCGCGUGCAGGAUGACGGUCCUAUGGAUUGUAAACUGCUUUUGCACAGGAAGAAACAACGCUACGUGUAGCGUCUUGACGGUACUGUGAGAAUAAGGAUCGGCUAACUCCGUGCCAGCAGCCGCGGUAAUACGGAGGAUCCAAGCGUUAUCCGGAAUCAUUGGGUUUAAAGGGUCCGUAGGCGGUUUAGUAAGUCAGUGGUGAAAGCCCAUCGCUCAACGGUGGAACGGCCAUUGAUACUGCUAGACUUGAAUUAUUAGGAAGUAACUAGAAUAUGUAGUGUAGCGGUGAAAUGCUUAGAGAUUACAUGGAAUACCAAUUGCGAAGGCAGGUUACUACUAAUGGAUUGACGCUGAUGGACGAAAGCGUGGGUAGCGAACAGGAUUAGAUACCCUGGUAGUCCACGCCGUANACGAUGGAUACUAGCUGUUGGGAGCGAUCUCAGUGGCUAAGCGAAAGUGAUAAGUAUCCCAC